AUGCCUUUUCCUCCUUCCAUUCUGGUGUUCUCUGUAUUUCCUGAAUUUGAAUGUUGGCCUGUCCUGCUAGGUUGGGGAAUUUCUCCUGAAUAUCCUAAAGAGUGUUUUACAGCUUGGUUCCAUUAUCUCUGUCACUUUCAGGUACACCAGUCAAAUGUAGGUUUAGUCUUUUCACAUAUUCCGAUAUUUCCUGGAGGCUUUGUUCAUUCCUUUUCAGUCUUUUUUCUCUAAUCUUGUCUUCACACUUUAUUUCAUUAAGUUGAUCUUCAAUCUCUGAUAUCCAUUUUUCUGUUUGAUUGAUUCAGCUAUUGAUACUUGUGUGUGCUUCAUGAAAUUCUUGUGCUGUGUUUUUCAGCUCCAUCAGGUCAUUUUUGUUCUUCUCUAAACUGGUUAUUCUAGUUAGCAGUUCCUGUGACCUUUUAUCAAGUUUCUUAGCUUCCUUUCAUUGGGUUAGAACAAAGUUUGUUAUUAGCCACCUUCUGAAGCCUACAUAUGUCAAUUCAUCAAACUCAUUCUCCAUCCAGUUUUGUGCCCCUGCUGGCAAGGAAUUGUGAUCCUUUGGAGAAGAGGCAUUCUGGUUUUGGGAAUUGUCAGCCUUUUUGUGCUGGAAAACUGAAUCCAGCUCCACAUCAAAAAGCUUAUCCACCGUAAUCAAGUCAGCUUCAUCCCUGGGAUGCAAGGCUGGUUCAACACAUGCAAAUUAAAAAAAAUCCAUCAUAUAAACAGAACCAAUGACAAAAACCACAUACUUAUCUUAAUAGAUGCAGGAAAGGCCUUUGAUAAAAUUCUACAGCCCCUCAUGCUAAAAAUACUCAAUGAACUGGGCAUUGAUGGAACAUAUUAAAAAAUACUUAGAGCUAUUUAUGACAAACCCACAACCAGCAUCGUACUGAAUGGGCAAAACCUGGAAGCAUUUCCUUUGAAAACUGGCACAAGACAAGGAUACCCUCUCUCACCACUCCUAUUCAACACAGUAUUGAAAGUUCUAGCCAGGGCAAUCAGGCAAGAGAAAGAAAUAAAUGGUAUUCAAAUAGGAAGAGAGAAAGUCAAAUUGUUUCUGUUUGUAGAAGACAUGAUUCUGUAUGUAGAAAGCCCAUCAUUUUAGCCCAAAAACUCCGUAAGCUGAUAAGCAACUUCAGCAAAGUCUCAGGAUACAAAAAUCAGUGUGCAAACAUCACAAGCAUUCCUACUAACAGAGAGCCAAAUCAUGAGUGAACUCCCAUUCACAAUUGCCACAAAUAAAAUAAAAUAACUAGGAAUACAACUUACAAGGUAUGUGAAGGACCUCUUCAAGGAGAACUGCAAAUCACUGCUCAAGGAAAUAAGAGAGAACACAAACAAAUGGAAAACCAUUCCAUGCUCAUGGAUAGGAAGAACAAUAUUGUAAAAAUGGCCAUACGGCACAAAGUAAUUUACAGAUUCAGUGCUAUCCCCAUCAAGUGCUAUCCCCAUCAAGCUACCAUUGACUUUUUUUCACAUAAUUAGAAAAAACUACUUUAAAUUUCAUAGGGAACAACAAUAACAAAAAAGCCUAUAUAGCCAAGACAAUUCUAAGCAAAAAAGCAAAGCUGGAAGCAUCAUGCUACUUCAAACUAUACUACAAAGCUCCAGUGACCAAAACAGCAGGGUACUGGUACCAAACAGAUAUAUAGACCAAUGGAACAGAACAGAGGCCUCAGAAAUAAUGCCAUAUAUCUAUAUCUACAACCAUCUGAUCUUUGACAAACCUGUCAAAAACAAGCAACAGAAAAAGAAUUUCCUAUUUAAUAAAUGGAGUUGAAAAAACUGGCUAGCCAUAUGCAGAAAACUGAAACCAGACCCCUUCCCUACACCUUAUACAAAAAUUAACUAAAGAUGUAUAAAGACUUAAACAUAUGACCUAUAACCAUUAAAACCUUAGAAGAAAAUCUAGGCAAUACUAUUCAGGACAUAGGCAUGGGCAAAGACUUCGUGACUAAAACACCAAAACCAAUGGGAACAAAAGCCAAAAUUGACAAAUAGGAUCUAAUUAAACUAAAGAGCUUCUACACAGCAAAACUAAUUAUCAUCAGAGUGAAAAGGCAACCUACAAAAUGGGAGAAAAUAUUUGCAAUCUAUUCAUCUGACAAAGAGCUAAUAUGAAGAAUCUUCAAAGAACUUAAACAAAUUUAUAAGAAUAAAACAAACAACCCCA
Molecule: long non-coding RNA, 2173 nt
Organism: Callithrix jacchus (white-tufted-ear marmoset)
Lineage: Eukaryota; Metazoa; Chordata; Mammalia; Primates; Cebidae
Source: Ensembl